UUGCUAAUCUUGCUUGCUUAAAUUAGACUUGUUUUCUUCUGAGUUAUUUUUCAUGAUAUCUUUUUAUUCCUAUCGAGUUGUUUGUCAUUUUAUCUAGAAUCAUUGACUUUACGGAAAAUCGGCUUCAAACUCCCUGUGUUUUAAGAAUUUCCCGCCAUAAUGAUUUUGCAACGCGCGCGACAAUUUUAAGUUGCUAAAAGUUUAUUUGGGAUAGAAAAAGGCAGCAAAUCGUCACUUCAUACGAAGAAAAACGACAAAUCACUCUAGGAAUUUAGCUGCAUAACCAGCUUAACGUAUCCACAUUCAAGAGAAGUUCUUUAGUGAAUAUAUCUAAUCGUCUGUGGAGGAUUUAAAGCAAAAGAAAACAUUUCUACGAUUAAUUCGAGUUGAAAACGACGUAUCAAUUUGGACUAAAAUUGUUGGUCAAAACCCAGAGAAUGUCUUCUUUGGAGGUUCUGUAUUUCUGGAUGAUUUUAAGCGUUGUGUGGAAAUACAAAAUGGAUUUUUUUGAAUGAUCAUGAACGAAAACAAUCUUCACGAACAUGGACGAAAGUCAGAAGCGAAACUUCGCCUCGUGCAACCAUAAGCCCGUAAGGUUAACAAAGUUGGAAAUUCUAUUGAGGAAAAAUAUAAAUAUGUUAUUUCCCACCUAAGGGUCGGUCCGUAUCGUGAAAUACCGUGACCUCGGCCUCCUAGCUGGUAAAUAACAUAUAUGUUCCUCUCUUAUCUUAUGUUCUCUUGUAUGAAGCCAAUUUUGCGAUUUUAUAGUAUGCCGAGAAACAUGAAAUGGUAACAAGAGAGUCGCGAUAAAUGUGUUUGUUUGUCGUCGAAUAAAAUAUUUAUUCUGGUCUUGACCUUCAAAGAUAUUGCAUUAGUGAAAUUUUAUCUUUUGAAGAGUGUUUUCGCUGCUCAUAUGAGAAAAAUUCGGGUAAUGACACACUUGGUCAUUCUUGAAAAAAAAAAGGCGACUGUCCAGUGCUAAAAAACGCUAGACUAGUUCCAGUACCGCGCGGUUAAACCAGCCUUUUUGUUUUGAAAUGGCGGCGUUUCACCGGCGAACUGUCACAUUUUGGCGAAUGCUAAGAAGACUAGACCAAACAUAAGGCUAUAAUUUUCUUUAUGACUCUCUCAUUAUCACACAAAUCUGUCAUCUUUUGUACAGUAUGGUUUUAAUUCUGUACAGUCAAAACAGCAACUGAAGUCAGCCUUUCGUACCUUUAAUCGAACUAUUCAACACUACGAUUGUGCUUGUUUUCGCCAGAGCAAGCGCAUGCGCAUACGUUAUUCAGCACUGUCGAGCAGAACCACAAGCGACAAACAGAAAGCGACAAAGAAACCACUGCUAAGGGACUACCUGAGGGCAAGAUGAAUUUGAAUGCUAAAGACUAAAAGACAUCAGAAUUGAUAAACAUGUCUUAAAGAUAACAGUAUGGAGUUCUUAUGCACUAGUGAUUUGAUACCCCCACACCCAUGGUCCCAGGAAAGGGCGAGGGAUUAGACCUUAAACAACUGUAAUAAAAGCCUCAUAUGAAACAAAUUGUACUCAAUUGCCUCUACCCCUUGUGGAAAUAACUGUACAUUUGAGAUGAUUUGCCAACAGAAAUGAGCUGUUUAUGUCUCUCAAAACGUUUUCAUAUAUGUUGAAUCGUAUACCGUAUAGGUAUCAAGAGAGAGAGAGAGAGAGAGAGAGAGAGAGAGAGAGAGAGAGAGAAAGAAUUUGCCUUCCUUACACUUCAUAUAAUCUGCAAAACAUUGUUAUCUAUUCCCCUGAUUGUGUUUUAUUAGAUAAUGGAAGGCUGUUUCCAAUUUUGUUUGCUGUCCUGGCUAGGAGAGACAAGUCUAAGAGUCAAAGGGGGAAAGGGUUAGUUAUAUGAAAGUACUGAAUAUAACUAUUGCAUCAUUGUUAUAUCAUUGUUAUAUAAGAGUCAUAUUUAUUUCUUUUUUUUCUCUCCCUGUUGACUAUAUAUUAAUGAAUAGAUAUAAAUGAACAGAUUUGGUUUAAUAAGAAAUUUUUAUUUAGCACUUUCACUUAGAUCUUUUUAGGAUUUGCUUUCCAAAUCAGUCUGUUUCCUAUUGCAUUUAUUUGGUAGUUAAAAUGGCUGGAUCCAGACUUUUUCUGAAAAAAAGAAGCAGCAGGCCACCAUGCUGAAUGGUGGGUGCACCAAAAUAUAAUGCAUUUCUUUAUGUAUAUUUGUGGAUUUUAAUUUCCAUGGGCAUGGAAAAACCACUAAGUCGUACAUGAAAACUUCAGUAUGGCAUCUAAAAUGUGUCCAACUAUACUAUUCUAUCUUUUUGAUGCUGUUAUACCCAUUACUUGUUCUUCCAACGACAAAGCUUGUCAGAAUGCAGCUUUGAUACAAAUGUAUUUUACCAAAACUUUUAUGAGGGGAAGGGGUUUUGAGGGCAGAUACUUAAAUUAUAUAACACUAGCAAUAACCUUGUGCUUUUUCAAUAAUAAAUCUGUAAAGAAAACAGUUUUAUAUCAACCUUAAGAUAAUGGGAAAAGUGAAAUGUCAAGAAAGUGCUCAAUCCAAA
Nematostella vectensis (starlet sea anemone) is the source of this 2535-nucleotide long non-coding RNA. RefSeq lists it as uncharacterized. The record is from RefSeq and is a predicted model, not a curated record. The transcript is spliced from 2 exons. Lineage: Eukaryota; Metazoa; Cnidaria; Anthozoa; Actiniaria; Edwardsiidae.